AUACUUAGGGUGCAAGCGUUAAUCGGAAUUACUGGGCGUAAAGCGCUCGUAGGCGGCUUGUUAAGUCGGAUGUGAAAUCCCCGGGCUCAACCUGGGAACUGCAUUCGAUACUGGCAGGCUAGAGUAUAGUAGAGGCAAGUGGAAUUCCGGGUGUAGCGGUGAAAUGCGUAGAUAUCCGGAGGAACAUCAGUGGCGAAGGCGACUUGCUGGACUAAUACUGACGCUGAGGAGCGAAAGCGUGGGGAGCAAACGGGAUUAGAAACCCCAGUAGUCC
RNAcentral lists this ribosomal RNA (274 nucleotides) under uncultured bacterium. RNAcentral's name for it is "partial 16S ribosomal RNA". It matches the Rfam family "Bacterial small subunit ribosomal RNA", at positions 523 to 796 of the family's 1533-position model. The record is from RNAcentral.